RNAcentral lists this long non-coding RNA (607 nucleotides) under Phoenix dactylifera (date palm). RNAcentral describes it as "long non-coding RNA (PDAC_LNC020512)". Lineage: Eukaryota; Viridiplantae; Streptophyta; Magnoliopsida; Arecales; Arecaceae. The record is from RNAcentral.
GUUAAGACAAGCAAGAUACUGGUAAGAAAAGUGUCUAAUAUUAUAAAAUAUUCUCCUUGAACUGCUAGGAGUGAACAUACAUACAUACAUUUUAGAGAACAGACAACAUUCUAGAGAAAAAAUUGCUAGUUUUAAAACACCUUUAUUGAAGAGUGAUAUAAUUGUGUCAGCAUUUUUCCACACAUCAAGAAUUUUGACUGUUGAAUUCUUUGGAUUUUGAAACCAUCUGUAAGAUUUGAUUGGGAAUACGUUUCCAAUUUAGAGAAAAAUUGCUAGUUUUAAAAUACCCUGAUUGUAGAGUAAUAUAAUUGUAUCAGCACUUUCCACACAUCAUGAAUUUUGACUGUUGAAUUCUUUGGAUUAUGAAGGCAUGUAGAAGAUUUUAUUUGGAAUAUAUGCCCCUUUUGAGUAGAUUAUAAAUUGCCUAUGUCAUUACUGUAAUGCCAUUGAUGUUAGAUUAGCAAUUGUAGCAAAUGAUAGUUGGAUUCCAUUGAUGACAGGUAAUGUAAAAUUGUAUAGAGUUCGAUAAGCAAGACUUUGAAAUUUGAACCUUUGGUUUCAAUUUUGUCUUGGUCAAACCUGUGGAGGUUUUGGAAGCAUCUUUUGU